AUGUAUGAUGCAAUGGUUCAUAGUGAGGUUCCGGUUGAUAACAGAAAAUUGUGGAAGCUCAAGAUUCCUCUAAGGGUGAAGAUAUUCUUCUGGUUACUAAAUAGUGGGGUCAUCUUAACUAGAAAUAAUUUGGCACGACGCACCUGGGAGGGUAGCAAGCAAUGUGUCUUUUGCCAACAUAACGACUUUAUUAAACACUUAUUUUUUGAGUGUAAGUUUGUUCGGACAGUUUGGGCCAUAGUUCAAGUAGCUUCAAACUUAUACCCCCCACGUAGUGCAUGUAACAUGUUCGGCAACUGGUUGCGGGGAAUCGAUAAACAAUUUUCUGCACACAUUAUUGCGGGGGCGGCUGCCUUAUGCUGGGCAUUGUGGCUUACCAGGAAUGAUGUGGUUUUCAAUAAUAAGUGUGUUUCAUCUCCUAUGCAGGUUAUUCAUAUAUGUACGCGAUGGCUCCAUACUUGGUCUAUCCUGUAG
Molecule: ribosomal RNA, 474 nt
Filed under: Triticum aestivum (bread wheat)
Lineage: Eukaryota; Viridiplantae; Streptophyta; Magnoliopsida; Poales; Poaceae
Description: partial small subunit ribosomal RNA
Source: RNAcentral